This 457-nucleotide long non-coding RNA is filed under the name Brachypodium distachyon (stiff brome). RNAcentral's name for it is "long non-coding RNA (BDIS_LNC000102)". The record is from RNAcentral. Lineage: Eukaryota; Viridiplantae; Streptophyta; Magnoliopsida; Poales; Poaceae.
UCACGACCUCUCGAUCUCCUCUCCUGUAGGCGUCGUCCGCCGCCGCCGCUGGUCUCCUGGUCCAAGGGUCGCCGCCUCUAUGGAGACGAGGAGGGCGGGGCCUCUCCACCUCCGGUCACUGCAGCCGUGAUGUUGCUUUUGUUGUACUUUUUUAGAUGGCUUUGUUUUCUGUUUCUUUGGAUCAAUGUAUGUGUUAUGUAUUACUCCGGUGUUCAAGUACAACAUGUAUUCUCUGAAAAUAGUUGGAUCUGAAGAGAUUUCGAAUGUAUUUUGAUUCUUGUUGGCGGAUCUUUGGGCGGUGGUGGGUGCAUGCCUGGUGCCUAGGGUUAUUUUUUUUUAAUUCAGACAAAACACACCAGUGGCGGUGGUUUUUGCCCGCCGGUAGAAGUAGCAGCACCAAUUGCGUCGGUUUUGCCCGCCACUUGAGGCAAAGCACCAGUGACGCAGGAUUAGUAGC